UACGUAGGGAGCAAGCGUUGUCCGGAUUUAUCGGGCGUAAAGAGCGCGUAGGCGGCUUGGUAAGCCGGAUGUGAAACCUCCAAGCUCAACUUGGAGCGGCCAUUCGGAACUGCCAUGGCUAGAGUCUGGUAGGGGAACACGGAAUUCCUGGUGUAGCGGUGAAAUGCUUAGAUAUCAGGAGGAACACCAGUGGCGAAGGCGGUGUUCUGGGCCAGUACUGACGCUGAGGCGCGAAAGCGUGGGGAGCGAACAGG
This 254-nucleotide ribosomal RNA is filed under the name uncultured bacterium. Its description in RNAcentral is "partial 16S ribosomal RNA". It matches the Rfam family "Bacterial small subunit ribosomal RNA", at positions 524 to 776 of the family's 1533-position model. The record is from RNAcentral.